AUGCACAGCUGGGGCCGGCUUGCUGGAGACACGGAGCAGACAAAGAAGGCUGAGGUGCCUAAAGAGAGGAGGAGAGGAGGUGCAGAUUUGGGCGUAGGAGGGAGAUUAAACAAAACGAAACGAAAACACAUAUUUCUUUCAAAUGUCAUCACUUUGGCCAACUGUUUUCUGAAAGAUAGAAAAUGUGGGCUGUCUAGAGGUUUCUGUUGCCCAGACAAGAGUCCAGUGGCACGAUCACAGCUCAUUGUAGCCUCCAACUCCAGGCCUCAAGUGAUCCUCCCACCUCAGCCUCCUGAGUAGCUGGGACUAUAGGUGAGUGCCACUAUGCAUGGUUAAAUUUUUAAUUUUUUGUAGAGAUAGUGUCUCACUAUGUUGUCCAGGCUUGUCUUGGACUGGCCUCAAGUGUUCCUCUUACCUUGUCAUUAGGCUUUUAAAAGCCACCUUCCUUCAACUUAGUGUGAGUGAGAUUAAAAUCCAGUCCUGACAAAGUUUCUGAUAAAAGGAAGAAAUUCCUGGGAAAUAGGGGAAGAAGAAUCAACAUAUUUGAACUAGGAUAGAGGCAUGAAAAGUAGAUCGAGAAAACAGAGCACCUUAUUUUUGCCUGGUUAAUUUUCUCAAAAUGAAGCUAACAAGAAAUCUUUGAGAUGUUACCUUCUCAGAUGCUGUAGGAGGAGCUGUUGAUUCAUGGUCGAAUUUACUUGGCCUAUUUAUGAAUUUUCUUGUUUCUUAAAAUCAGAAAAAAGAAUCAUCGAAUUUUUCUUUGUUAGGUGCCCUGCAACUGAAAGCUCUGUAAACCAAUAAUGUAGUUGUUCUUAAUAGAUUGUAUCUUCCAGAUCUGUUUAUCUAGUUCAAAAAUCUUUAUCAUCACAAUGUACAGUAGCUUUUUGGGAUGAAUUACUAUCCCAUGGAAGCAAAUGAUAUUUAGAAAUCUUUGUGUGUGGAAGAGGUUAAUAACAUAUUUUUCUGAUUUGUUCUACAUUUCUAGUGAAUGGUCUUGAUGCUAUGUGCCUUAUAUUUAAAUAGUAAACAAUAUUUUGUUAAUAAUUGCAAGUAACAUGAAAUAAGUCAGAGCCUUUAUCUUCAUUUAACAUAUGUUCAUAUGGAAAAUGGAUGCACCUAUGUCAUCUUGGAGCAAGUGGUAGAGUGUCUAGGUCACUCAGAAUCAGACGAAAUACAUUCAGAUCCCAGCUUAGCAACUUACUGGCUACAUAAAUAUGGACAAAUUGUAAAGUAAUAUGAAUCUUGGUUUGUAAAACUGGAGCAAUAUUACCAACCACAGAGGGCUUUUUAAUAAUCUGGAGAUAACAUGGGCAAAACGUUUAGCACCUCUUUAUUAUAAGAAGGAAACAGACAAAUUCCUGGAUCCAGAUUCCAGACAAAUAUUG
This 1385-nucleotide long non-coding RNA is filed under the name Callithrix jacchus (white-tufted-ear marmoset). RNAcentral describes it as "lncRNA (ENSCJAG00000083644.1)". Lineage: Eukaryota; Metazoa; Chordata; Mammalia; Primates; Cebidae. The record is from RNAcentral.